CCGAUUAAUGAUUUCCUCCGUGGGUGCUCACGGGCGCACGCCCUUUAAAAAAAAAAAAAGUCAAAAAAUGUUUCCAUUU
Etheostoma cragini (Arkansas darter) is the source of this 79-nucleotide long non-coding RNA. RefSeq lists it as uncharacterized. NCBI's taxonomy places the organism in Eukaryota, Metazoa, Chordata, Actinopteri, Perciformes, Percidae. The transcript is spliced from 3 exons. The record is from RefSeq and is a predicted model, not a curated record.